Molecule: ribosomal RNA, 351 nt
Filed under: uncultured bacterium
Lineage: Bacteria
Description: bacterial SSU rRNA
Rfam family: Bacterial small subunit ribosomal RNA
Source: RNAcentral
AUUAAUACCUCAUGGUAUAUAUCAUUCGCAUUGUUUGAUAUAAUUAAAGUUACCAACGGUAAAAGAGUGGGCAUGCGUCCUAUUAGCUAGAUGGUAAGGUAACGGCUUACCAUGGCAACGAUAGGUAGGGGUCCUGAGAGGGAGAUCCCCCACACUGGUACUGAGACACGGACCAGACUCCUACGGGAGGCAGCAGUGAGGAAUAUUGGACAAUGGGCGCAAGCCUGAUCCAGCCAUGCCGCGUGCAGGAAGAAGCAUCUAUGGUGUGUAAACUGCUUUUGUACGGGAAGAAACACUCCUUCGUGAAGGAGCUUGACGGUACCGUAAGAAUAAGGAUCGGCUAACUCCGUG